AAGUCGUAACAAGGUUUCCGUAGGUGAACCUGCGGAAGGAUCAUUAACACGUAUCCAACGUUAAACAACCCUGUGAACUUUCCUCUUGUAGCCCCGGAGGAACAGCAAUCCCGGUAAAUCAAAUGGCGGAAAGAGUUUUGAUUCGGGACCUCUGUCCAAAAGGUAUCAAGUUACACGGUUGCCAGAGGUCGAUCACCGGCCGGCAGACAUGUCACAGGGCUUUACGCCCCUUCAUUCACCCCUUGCCUAAUCAAGCCUCGCGGAAACGCCGGGCAUAAAAACCGAACAACUGUUAACAAUGGAUAUCUUGGUUCUC
Molecule: unclassified non-coding RNA, 316 nt
Filed under: fungal sp.
Lineage: Eukaryota; Fungi
Description: partial internal transcribed spacer region
Rfam family: Eukaryotic small subunit ribosomal RNA (bases 1-46)
Source: RNAcentral